ACACUCCUGCGGGAGGCAGCAGUGGGGAAUUUUGGACAAUGGGCGAAAGCCUGAUCCAGCAAUGCCGCGUGAGUGAAGAAGGCCUUCGGGUUGUAAAGCUCUUUUGUCAGGGAAGAAACGGUGAAAGCUAAUAUCUUUUGCUAAUGACGGUACCUGAAGAAUAAGCACCGGCUAACUACGUGCCAGCAGCCGCGGUAAUACGUAGGGUGCAAGCGUUAAUCGGAAUUACUGGGCGUAAAGCGUGCGCAGGCGGUUUUGUAAGUCUGAUGUGAAAUCCCCGGGCUCAACCUGGGAAUUGCAUUGGAGACUGCAAGGCUAGAAUCUGGCAGAGGGGGGUAGAAUUCCACGUGUAGCAGUGAAAUGCGUAGAUAUGUGGAGGAACACCGAUGGCGAAGGCAGCCCCCUGGGUCAAGAUUGACGCUCAUGCACGAAAGCGUGGGGAGCAAACAGGAUUAGAAACCCUAGUAGUCCCAUGA
Molecule: ribosomal RNA, 476 nt
Filed under: uncultured organism
Description: partial 16S ribosomal RNA
Rfam family: Bacterial small subunit ribosomal RNA
Source: RNAcentral